This 357-nucleotide long non-coding RNA is filed under the name Sus scrofa (pig). Its description in RNAcentral is "lncRNA (ENSSSCG00015056989.1)". The record is from RNAcentral. Lineage: Eukaryota; Metazoa; Chordata; Mammalia; Artiodactyla; Suidae.
CAUGAAACAGACUGUUGUCCACCAGAAAGUGCCUGCGGUACUGCACACAGUUCCUUUUCUCCAAGUUCCAGUAACUCAUUGUCAGAAGAUUUCUGGCACAGCAUCAAAACCCAAUUACCUGUAGAACUUUGAAUGUUCGGGGAGAUGAAGGAUUCCUCGAAGUCCUCGGCGGAGGAGCGACCUCCAAAGUGCUGCCGUUGAAGAGUUAUUGGCCCCUGUGAUUCCAACUCCAAAACCCUGUCGAGGGGCAGAAAAGCUCCCCAGAAGGGCACUUCUCCACACCACCCUGCAGAAACCUCGGAGACCCGCUGAGCAAAGUGGGGCGCCUCCGCCACAACCUGCUUUCUCAUUCAAAUC